RNAcentral lists this transfer RNA (75 nucleotides) under Gemmata obscuriglobus. Its description in RNAcentral is "tRNA-Gln". It matches the Rfam family "tRNA". From Rfam's summary of the family: Transfer RNA (tRNA) molecules are approximately 80 nucleotides in length. Their secondary structure includes four short double-helical elements and three loops (D, anti-codon, and T loops). Lineage: Bacteria; Pseudomonadati; Planctomycetota; Planctomycetia; Gemmatales; Gemmataceae. The record is from RNAcentral.
ACGGGGAUGGGCUAACGGUAUGCCUCCGGGCUUUGAACCCGGCCACCAUGAAGGUUCGACUCCUUCUCCCCGUGC